RNAcentral lists this ribosomal RNA (497 nucleotides) under uncultured bacterium. Its description in RNAcentral is "partial 16S ribosomal RNA". It matches the Rfam family "Bacterial small subunit ribosomal RNA", at positions 28 to 507 of the family's 1533-position model. The record is from RNAcentral.
GAUGAACGCUGGCGGCGUGCCUAAUACAUGCCAGUCGAGCGAACGGACGAGAAGCUUGCUUCUCUGAUGUUAGCGGCGGACGGGUGAGUAACACGUGGAUAACCUACCUAUAAGACUGGGAUAACUUCGGGAAACCGGAGCUAAUACCGGAUGAUAUUUUGAACCGCAUGGUUCAAAAGUGAAAGACGGUCUUGCUGUCACUUAUAGAUGGAUCCGCGCUGCAUUAGCUAGUUGGUAAGGUAACGGCUUACCAAGGCAACGAUGCAUAGCCGACCUGAGAGGGUGAUCGGCCACACUGGAACUGAGACACGGUCCAGACUCCUACGGGAGGCAGCAGUAGGGAAUCUUCCGCAAUGGGCGAAAGCCUGACGGAGCAACGCUGCGUGAGUGAUGAAGGUCUUCGGAUCGUAAAACUCUGUUAUUAGGGAAGAACAUAUGUGUAAGUAACUGUGCACAUCUUGACGGUACCUAAUCAGAAAGCCACGGCUAACUACGUG